Molecule: transfer RNA, 74 nt
Filed under: Nelumbo nucifera (sacred lotus)
Lineage: Eukaryota; Viridiplantae; Streptophyta; Magnoliopsida; Proteales; Nelumbonaceae
Rfam family: tRNA
About the family: Transfer RNA (tRNA) molecules are approximately 80 nucleotides in length.
Source: Rfam by way of RNAcentral
UGUGUCGUGGUGUGGUUGGUUAUCACGUCAUUCUAACACAUUAAAGGUCUCCGGUUCGAGUCCGGGCGACACCA